CCUACGGGAGGCAGCAGUGAGGAAUAUUGGUCAAUGGACGAGAGUCUGAACCAGCCAAGCAGCGUGAAGGAUGACUGCCCUAUGGGUUGUAAACUUCUUUUAUAUGGGAAUAAAACGUUCCACGUGUGGGAUUUUGUAUGUACCAUAUGAAUAAGGAUCGGCUAACUCCGUGCCAGCAGCCGCGGUAAUACGGAGGAUCCGAGCGUUAUCCGGAUUUAUUGGGUUUAAAGGGAGCGUAGGUGGAUUGUUAAGUCAGUUGUGAAAGUUUGCGGCUCAACCGUAAAAUUGCAGUUGAAACUGGCAGUCUUGAGUACAGUAGAGGUGGGCGGAAUUCGUGGUGUAGCGGUGAAAUGCUUAGAUAUCACGAAGAACUACGAUUGCGAAGGCAGUUCACUGGACUGCAACUGACACUGAGGCUCGAAAGUGUGGGUAUCAAACAGGAUUAGAUACCCCAGUAGUC
This 460-nucleotide ribosomal RNA is filed under the name uncultured bacterium. Its description in RNAcentral is "partial 16S ribosomal RNA". It matches the Rfam family "Bacterial small subunit ribosomal RNA", at positions 338 to 795 of the family's 1533-position model. The record is from RNAcentral.